RNAcentral lists this long non-coding RNA (861 nucleotides) under Marmota monax (woodchuck). The record is from RNAcentral. Lineage: Eukaryota; Metazoa; Chordata; Mammalia; Rodentia; Sciuridae.
GUCAGCCUUGGUUUGUACAAAUUUCUACCUAAGACCUGCAGCCUUCCAGAAGAGCUGGAAGCUCUGACCUCUUCCCAUGUACAAUAUUGCCUCCAGUCUACCCCUGCCCAGGAUGAGGGUGUGAGUUUUGGGUGCAUCGCCUUCUGGGGCUAGCAAAGGAAACUUAGAAGUGCGUCUAGCUCUUUGUUUUCUGGUGUCUUGAGUCCCAAAACAGUGACUGAAUGACUUGCCCAGCAAUAUGCAUUAUGAGAGGGACACAGAUGGAUCCUGAUUUGGAGGAGACUGAGGCUCUAGGUUGUGGGAUGCACUUCCAGCUUCACUGAAGUGGGCAGUGCCCCAAAGUACCAGCUGGUCCACAUAUAUCUUGGACCUGGACACACUGGCAUUGGGCUUAUCCCGUCAAAUGCCCAGCUAGUAGACAAAGCAGCUCUUAGUCUAAUAGUUGCCCAGUGAAAAAAGCUUGAAUUAUUGUUUUCCCAUCCUCAUUUCCUUAAAAAGUCAACUAAUAAUAAAGUCAAAAUAGAAAUCACCCACACAAUUUACUACUGAAUUAAUUUUCGCAGUAGACUUUGUCCAUAGCAACUUUGAUUUCAUACUAUUUCAGUAAUAGUGUGGGGGGAUAGAAUUUUGUUUUUCACCUCACUUCCCAAACUUUAAAAAAAUUUUUUUAUUUGUAGAUGGACACAAUAUCUUUAUUCUUUUAAAAUUUAUUUUUAUCCGGUGCUGAGGAUCGAACCCAGUACCUUACUUCCAACUUUCGAAAAUUUCAAAUAUAUGGAAAAGUUAAAAGGAAUAGUAUAAUUGUAUGCAUACCACUUAAAGUGACCUGUGGUUCAUAUUUUACUUCUUUUGUAUUUACAU